RNAcentral lists this ribosomal RNA (88 nucleotides) under Victoria amazonica (Amazon water-lily). The record is from RNAcentral. Lineage: Eukaryota; Viridiplantae; Streptophyta; Magnoliopsida; Nymphaeales; Nymphaeaceae.
UCCCAUCAGAACUCCGCAGUUAAGCGUGCUUGGGCGAGAGUAGUACUAGGAUGGGUGACCUCCUGGGAAGUCCUCGUGCUGCAUCCCC